This 419-nucleotide long non-coding RNA is filed under the name Sorghum bicolor (sorghum). RNAcentral describes it as "long non-coding RNA (SBIC_LNC006203)". Lineage: Eukaryota; Viridiplantae; Streptophyta; Magnoliopsida; Poales; Poaceae. The record is from RNAcentral.
ACAAAGUGUUCGAUCCAAACUCCCCCAACACGAUUGGGCUGUAUGGUUUAAUAUCUCUUGUAUGCAGAUAUAUAUAAUAAAACGAGCAACCUAUCACAAACACUUGUGCGGUGUAGUGGCUAGUACAGCUCAGUGUGUUAUGAUGCAAAUGGCUAGGGUUCAAAUCCCCUAGAGCACACUAUUUUUUAGCUUUUUGCGGGAUUUCCAUGUCUCUCUGGGCUCGAUGUUGUUGGGCCGAGUGGAGAUUGAUGCCCCAACUAAAAUGAAAAAAAUAGUUGGGCUGAAUUUUUGCGGGAUUUCCAUGUCUCUGGGCUCGAUGUUGUUGGGCUGAGUGGAAAUUGAUGGCCCAACUAAAAUGAAAAAAAUAGUUGGGCUGAAAUAAACAUCUAAAAAAAUAAAAAAAUUCUGAUGUGCCAACA